This 1278-nucleotide ribosomal RNA is filed under the name Microbacterium sp. ALBL_075. RNAcentral describes it as "bacterial SSU rRNA". It matches the Rfam family "Bacterial small subunit ribosomal RNA", at positions 52 to 1342 of the family's 1533-position model. Lineage: Bacteria; Bacillati; Actinomycetota; Actinomycetes; Micrococcales; Microbacteriaceae. The record is from RNAcentral.
CACAUGCAGUCGAACGGUGAAACGGAGCUUGCUCUGUGGGAUCAGUGGCGAACGGGUGAGUAACACGUGAGCAACCUGCCCCUGACUCUGGGAUAAGCGCUGGAAACGGCGUCUAAUACUGGAUAUGUGACGUGACCGCAUGGUCUGCGUCUGGAAAGAAUUUCGGUUGGGGAUGGGCUCGCGGCCUAUCAGCUUGUUGGUGAGGUAAUGGCUCACCAAGGCGUCGACGGGUAGCCGGCCUGAGAGGGUGACCGGCCACACUGGGACUGAGACACGGCCCAGACUCCUACGGGAGGCAGCAGUGGGGAAUAUUGCACAAUGGGCGCAAGCCUGAUGCAGCAACGCCGCGUGAGGGACGACGGCCUUCGGGUUGUAAACCUCUUUUAGCAGGGAAGAAGCGAAAGUGACGGUACCUGCAGAAAAAGCGCCGGCUAACUACGUGCCAGCAGCCGCGGUAAUACGUAGGGCGCAAGCGUUAUCCGGAAUUAUUGGGCGUAAAGAGCUCGUAGGCGGUUUGUCGCGUCUGCUGUGAAAUCCGGAGGCUCAACCUCCGGCCUGCAGUGGGUACGGGCAGACUAGAGUGCGGUAGGGGAGAUUGGAAUUCCUGGUGUAGCGGUGGAAUGCGCAGAUAUCAGGAGGAACACCGAUGGCGAAGGCAGAUCUCUGGGCCGUAACUGACGCUGAGGAGCGAAAGGGUGGGGAGCAAACAGGCUUAGAUACCCUGGUAGUCCACCCCGUAAACGUUGGGAACUAGUUGUGGGGUCCAUUCCACGGAUUCCGUGACGCAGCUAACGCAUUAAGUUCCCCGCCUGGGGAGUACGGCCGCAAGGCUAAAACUCAAAGGAAUUGACGGGGACCCGCACAAGCGGCGGAGCAUGCGGAUUAAUUCGAUGCAACGCGAAGAACCUUACCAAGGCUUGACAUAUACGAGAACGGGCCAGAAAUGGUCAACUCUUUGGACACUCGUAAACAGGUGGUGCAUGGUUGUCGUCAGCUCGUGUCGUGAGAUGUUGGGUUAAGUCCCGCAACGAGCGCAACCCUCGUUCUAUGUUGCCAGCACGUAAUGGUGGGAACUCAUGGGAUACUGCCGGGGUCAACUCGGAGGAAGGUGGGGAUGACGUCAAAUCAUCAUGCCCCUUAUGUCUUGGGCUUCACGCAUGCUACAAUGGCCGGUACAAAGGGCUGCAAUACCGCGAGGUGGAGCGAAUCCCAAAAAGCCGGUCCCAGUUCGGAUUGAGGUCUGCAACUCGACCUCAUGAAGUCGGAGUCGCUAGUAAU